Molecule: ribosomal RNA, 307 nt
Filed under: uncultured eukaryote
Lineage: Eukaryota
Description: partial 18S ribosomal RNA
Rfam family: Eukaryotic small subunit ribosomal RNA
Source: RNAcentral
CCCUUAGACGUUCUGGGCCGCACGCGCGCUACACUGACGAAGGCAACGAGCUUUCCUUUACCGAAAGGUACGGGUAAUCUUUUGAAACUUCGUCGUGCUGGGGAUAGAUCCUUGCAAUUUUUGAUCUUAAACGAGGAAUGCCUAGUAAGCGCAAGUCAUCAACUUGCGUUGAUUACGUCCCUGCCCUUUGUACACACCGCCCGUCGCUACUACCGAUUGAAUGGUUGAGUGAGGCCUUCGGAUCCGCGACUCGUUUGUGGAGAAGUUGGACAAACUCAGUCAUUUAGAGGAAGUAAAAGUCGUAACA